Molecule: long non-coding RNA, 1882 nt
Organism: Chenopodium quinoa (quinoa)
Lineage: Eukaryota; Viridiplantae; Streptophyta; Magnoliopsida; Caryophyllales; Amaranthaceae
Exons: 4
Source: RefSeq, a predicted model, not a curated record
UAUUGUCUCCCUUGAUUUUUUCUACUCUGACUCACUUUGUAACAUUCAUUUCUCUCUCUUCACUUCUCUCUCUUCAUUUCUGGAUCUACAUCUCUCUCUUUCUCUAUCCUCUUCCAUUGAAGAACGAAUAUUUUCAUCUUUCUCUCUCUUCAAUUUGUGCAAUUUGGGGUUCAAAAUCGCUGGAAAAAUUGUGGAUCGGUACUUUACUUGUUCAAGCGGAUCAAACCCCUCAACUAAUUUUGUGAAUCCGCCCUUUUUAAAGGUGAUAGGUUGCCUGUGUACAUGAGUGAAUCCCCUGGUUCAGAAGAAUCACACUCUCAUCAGUUGGAUGCUCUCCUUCUAAGCUGGUUGUUAAAAAGGAUUCUGAUAAUGAAUCACACAGCUAAGUAUCGGAGGAGUCUCUCGAUUAUGGUCAAGUUUAGUGAUCGUACCUUAAUUAUUCACGUGAUCAAGAGACCAAGUAUGAAAAUUUCCAACAAUAGCAAGUCAGGAAACGUCUAUGUGGAGUAGUGACAUGUACUGUUUCGGAUCUUAUCUUCUCAGGGCCUCCUUUUAAUGUCAUCGUGAGAGCUGUGUUAAUAUAUCAAGAGAUUCAAGAGAUCUUGUAGAAGAUAAAAGAUUUCUCCUUAUGUUGUUGUCAUACUAUUUGCUCUAAACUAUUGUCAGAAUUAUGUUUUAACACAAUAAACAUAUAAUUCUAAGUGAUAUUUAUUUGUAAUUUAUUUUUCUAAGUACGACAUUUUGUAUGUACUAUUAAUUUUUAAUGAAAAUUCCCUUUAUUAUCAUAUUUUUAUAAAUUCAUGUAUAUCUAUAUACGAAAUACAUUUUGCACUUUUUCCUCCUAAAAAUCCAACCUUUAUACCCCACCUUCUCCUAUAGAUCCAUUUGACCUCUAACCUGUUAAACUGGUUAAAAAGUUUUUUUUAUUUUUUUUUUAUUUUUAAUCCUUUCACUCCUCUUUCUCUCUCCUAUCUCCUACAACCUGAAACAACAGAACCACCACGCACAUCCGUCGCCACCACCACCUUUGCCACCACUUACCCCACCCUACCCAAAGCCAGAACCGAAACCCUUCUCCCACUCCUACUUCUGCUCGAAACCAUAAGCCCAGGCUCAAUUAAACCUUCGAUUUGCUUUGAUUGUGGGGCUGCCACCACCGAUUUGCUUCGAUUAAACCACAUCAGCUAUUAAUUGUUGUUGUUGUUGGCGAGUUGAUGUUGUUGGUGAAGAGAAAUUGGUGGGCUGAAGUUUGUGGUUGUGUUGCUGGUGUCGUGUGGUGGCGAGCAAGGUGGAUGUGGAUUGGUGAUUGGUGGGAACUUUGCAGCGUGAGGUUGGAGUUGGAGGGUGGUGCGGUUGUGAUUGCGGGAUUGCUAAAACGGAGAUUGGAAAUGGAGGUAGGGGCUGUGCGUUUGGAGUUUGGAAACGGAGAUUGCGUUUGGAGUUGCGGGGUUGUGCGUUUGGAGAUGCGGGGCUGGGCGUCUUGGAGUUGCGGGGCUGUGCGUUUGGAGUUCUGGGGCUGGGCGUUUUGGAGUUGCGGGGUUUGGGUUUGGACGGAGGCGGGGUUGGUGGCUGGGCGUGAGUGUUAGUGGCUGGGCGUGAGUGUUGGUGGCUGUGCUGGGUUCCGGUGGGCGGUGGGUUAGGGUGGUCAGGGAAGGGAGAGGGUGGAGCUGGUGUUCUAAAUUUUUUUUUCUUCUUCUUUUAAUUAUUUUUGUUUUUUAAUAAUUAAAAAAAUAAUUAACCUAUUAAUAGCUGACACGUGGAAUAUGACUUACAAAAAUCAGUCAUUAACAGGUAAUGGACCUAUUGAAGAAGGAGGGGUAUAAAGGUUGGAUUUUUGAGGAAUAAUCAAAAGGUUGGAUUUUUGUAAAGAAAAAGUUAAAAG